This 253-nucleotide ribosomal RNA is filed under the name uncultured bacterium. RNAcentral's name for it is "partial 16S ribosomal RNA". It matches the Rfam family "Bacterial small subunit ribosomal RNA", at positions 524 to 776 of the family's 1533-position model. The record is from RNAcentral.
UACAGAGGUCCCAAGCGUUGUUCGGAUUCACUGGGCGUAAAGGGUGCGUAGGCGGUCGGGUAAGUCUGAUGUGAAAUCUCAGAGCUCAACUCUGAAACUGCAUUGGAUACUAUUCGGCUUGAGGUCUGGAGGGGGGACUGGAAUUCUCGGUGUAGCAGUGAAAUGCGUAGAUAUCAAGAGGAACACCAGUGGCGAAGGCGAGUCCCUGGACAACACCUGACACUGAGGCACGAAAGCUAGGGGAGCAAACAGG